This is a long non-coding RNA of Apis mellifera (honey bee), 260 nucleotides long. RefSeq lists it as uncharacterized. The transcript has 2 exons. The record is from RefSeq and is a predicted model, not a curated record. Lineage: Eukaryota; Metazoa; Arthropoda; Insecta; Hymenoptera; Apidae.
CGAGCCGUUUGAACCGUUACACCGGAUCCCCGAAGCCCAGAUAUUUCCCUCGCGGGAAGAAUGGGAUCGUGACAACCUCGUCUUUGUGGCAUUGAUUACGCGACGCGACUUUACCACCACAACUGAUUCAUUCAGCUCGCGACGCGACGCGAGAUGUGGGUCACGAUCUAUGAGGUUAGAUCUUUUCCGUACUGUUAAUUUUUACUUCCUGAAUUCUUGACGGAAGAAAUAGCUUUUUAUUCUUGGAUCUUCAAGAAAAG